CUUUAAGCACACGUUUUAGGGUAAUUUUUGUUCAUCUUCUAAGAGACCAUCAAGUUGGACUGAUUCUGUUGGCUCAUGAUUGCUUCCCACCAGCAGCACAUGAGAGGUCCAUUGGUUCCACGUUCUUGCAAACCUACGAUAUGUCCAGCCGUCACAACACGAAUGUACCUGAGUUGG
Molecule: long non-coding RNA, 177 nt
Organism: Fukomys damarensis (Damara mole-rat)
Lineage: Eukaryota; Metazoa; Chordata; Mammalia; Rodentia; Bathyergidae
Exons: 3
Source: RefSeq, a predicted model, not a curated record